CAAGCAGGGAUAGUGUGUAUCGACAUGGAGCAUACAAUGCUUCAAUUGUGCGAAAGAGUUCCCUGCAAUAUCAAAUUCCAGGGGAAGAUGGGCAGUUGCGUUUCAUAAUUCUUUUGAUUAUUUCAACAAUCAUCUUCCCCAUAUUU
Molecule: small nucleolar RNA, 146 nt
Organism: Amaranthus tricolor (Joseph's coat)
Lineage: Eukaryota; Viridiplantae; Streptophyta; Magnoliopsida; Caryophyllales; Amaranthaceae
Product: small nucleolar RNA snoR135
Exons: 1
Source: RefSeq, a predicted model, not a curated record